GACGGAAGGUGCAAGCGUUGCUCGGAAUCACUGGGCGUAAAGAGCUCGUAGGCGGCUUGUCACGUCGGUUGUGAAAGCCCGGGGCUUAACCCCGGGUCUGCAGUCGAUACGGGCAGGCUAGAGUUCGGUAGGGGAGAUCGGAAUUCCUGGUGUAGCGGUGAAAUGCGCAGAUAUCAGGAGGAACACCGGUGGCGAAGGCGGAUCUCUGGGCCGAUACUGACGCUGAGGAGCGAAAGCGUGGGGAGCGAACAGG
RNAcentral lists this ribosomal RNA (253 nucleotides) under uncultured bacterium. RNAcentral describes it as "partial 16S ribosomal RNA". It matches the Rfam family "Bacterial small subunit ribosomal RNA", at positions 524 to 776 of the family's 1533-position model. The record is from RNAcentral.